This 772-nucleotide ribosomal RNA is filed under the name Epoligosita sp. D1219. RNAcentral's name for it is "SSU rRNA". It matches the Rfam family "Eukaryotic small subunit ribosomal RNA", at positions 477 to 1206 of the family's 1831-position model. Lineage: Eukaryota; Metazoa; Arthropoda; Insecta; Hymenoptera; Trichogrammatidae. The record is from RNAcentral.
UAACGAUACGGGACUCAUCCGAGGCCCCGUAAUCGGAAUGAGUACACUUUAAAUCCUUUAACGAGGACCCAUUGGAGGGCAAGUCUGGUGCCAGCAGCCGCGGUAAUUCCAGCUCCAAUAGCGUAUAUUAAAGUUGUUGCGGUUAAAAAGCUCGUAGUUGAAUCUGUGUGCCACGCUGUCGGUUCAUCGCUCGCGAUGUUUAACUGGCAUGAUUGUGGGACGUCCUACCGGUGGGCUUAGCUCCGGCAACGGGGCGGUCCAGCUAAUAUCCCAUCGCGGUGCUCUUCAUCGAGUGUCGAGGUGGGCCGGUACGUUUACUUUGAACAAAUUAGAGUGCUCAAAGCAGGCUAUGUUCGCCUGAAUACUUCGUGCAUGGAAUAAUGGAAUAGGACCUCGGUUCUAUUUUGUUGGUUUUCGGAACUCCGAGGUAAUGAUUAAUAGGGACAGAUGGGGGCAUUCGUAUUGCGACGUUAGAGGUGAAAUUCUUGGAUCGUCGCAAGACGGACAGAAGCGAAAGCAUUUGCCAAAAAUGUUUUCAUUAAUCAAGAACGAAAGUUAGAGGUUCGAAGGCGAUCAGAUACCGCCCUAGUUCUAACCAUAAACGAUGCCAGCUAGCGAUCCGCCGAAGUUCCUCCGAUGACUCGGCGGGCAGCUUCCGGGAAACCAAAGCUUUUGGGUUCCGGGGGAAGUAUGGUUGCAAAGCUGAAACUUAAAGGAAUUGACGGAAGGGCACCACCAGGAGUGGAGCCUGCGGCUUAAUUUGACUCAACAC